GCCUGGCUGGCUCAGUUGGAAGAGCAUGUGACUCUUGAUCUCGGGGAUUGUAGGUUUGAGUCCCAUGCUGGGUG
This 74-nucleotide transfer RNA is filed under the name Canis lupus familiaris (dog). It matches the Rfam family "tRNA". From Rfam's summary of the family: Transfer RNA (tRNA) molecules are approximately 80 nucleotides in length. RNAcentral also lists the same sequence under 1 other name. Lineage: Eukaryota; Metazoa; Chordata; Mammalia; Carnivora; Canidae. The record is from Rfam by way of RNAcentral.